CGGGGCGUGGCCAAGUGGUAAGGCACCGGGCUUUGGUCCCGAGAUCGCAGAUUCGACUCGUGCCGCUCCAACCA
This 74-nucleotide transfer RNA is filed under the name Pseudomonadota bacterium. Its description in RNAcentral is "Proteobacteria bacterium tRNA-Gln". It matches the Rfam family "tRNA". Rfam says of the family: Transfer RNA (tRNA) molecules are approximately 80 nucleotides in length. Their secondary structure includes four short double-helical elements and three loops (D, anti-codon, and T loops). The record is from RNAcentral. RNAcentral also lists the same sequence under 1 other name. Lineage: Bacteria; Pseudomonadati; Pseudomonadota.